This 5291-nucleotide long non-coding RNA is filed under the name Brassica napus (rape). RNAcentral's name for it is "long non-coding RNA (BNAP_LNC016495)". Lineage: Eukaryota; Viridiplantae; Streptophyta; Magnoliopsida; Brassicales; Brassicaceae. The record is from RNAcentral.
CCUCGACCGCUUCGUUAUAACUCCGGAAGUAGCCGCCGCCGGGGAGGAGGAGGUCGUUGCGAGAGUGGCGUAUUCUGGAGGAGCAGAUUUGGGGACGAUCUUAAGAAAAGGAUAAACCAGGUGCGGGGAACCUUCUCUGGCGACGGAAAACCCUUCUGGCCGAGACCUUUUCUUUGUGGGUACAGUAGGAAAAACCUUGUUAAAUACAGACGAAGCUUCGUUGAAAAUUAUCACACGCUCCCUGCAACAAUAACAAAAAUUCAAUUAGGUAAACAGAACUCCAAACAAAAUGUAUCAACUCAUCGUAAUAAACUACCUGGCCUUCACGAUGUUUUCCCGUAGACCAGCCUUUAGUCUUUUGAUCUCUUCUGGUAUAGGGGAUGGAGUUAACUUCCCUCUCGGAGUUGUGCUUGGAGAUUCAUCCCCUUGAAUUCCAAGGCCAAUAUUCACAUGACGCUUAAAGUCACCUUGACGAACAGACUUGUGAUCUGCGGCAACCACCUUAGGAUCAAAACGCAAACACUGGAAGAAAUUUGUAACAUCGGUUUGUGCUAAUGGUGAAGUGGUCCUCAACAUGCUCGCGUGAGAAGAUGAGACAGGUUGCUCCAUAGUCUCGCGAAAGCUACUAGAUCUUGCCAUCUGUGAAGCUAAGUUAGACCUGUAUAAAGGCCUAUCUGGUCCACCAGAAGAAUAAUCAGACUUCCCAGGUGCUGACAUUCCCUUAUCUUUAGCAAGUCCACUGUUUUAUUUAUACAAAAAUAUACACGCAGUAGCACAUGACAAACUUGCAGAGUUGCAGGACAUAUAUGCUAAAUUCUCAGCUGUCGCGUUGAUUAGAAGACGCACCUGCAAAGGGACACAAAACGGAAGCAAAACCUCAGUGAAAAUCCCCCAGAACAAUUAACCAGGAGAAUGGAAUUGGAAGACAAACAAUAUAUUCGUAAGUAAAAGACAUAAAUUCAUUUGUACUAGCCAAGUCUUAAAAAUCGAAAAAAAAAUAUACAAAACUCUCAAAACUAUACAUAAAUAGAAACACAAGGACUCAUAAGUGUGCCGGAAUCAUGUUCAGAGCCAUAGCAUGGCAUAUUAUAUUUCUUCUACUACCACCCAAUUGAAGAGCUUAAACCAAUAAUCAAAAAAAAAUCUACAAAAUUUAGCAAAUGUACAAAAAUGGGAAAAGUAAUAGUAAACUGGAAAGUGAAGUAAACAAGAAUAUAGAUCCAGUUGAAAUGUGUUCAAAGAUCUUAUAAUUUCACUUCUUAUUAAUCUAAAACAUACGAUAGAGUUAGAGAGUGACAAAAACACCAAUACCUAUCAUCAACAACACCUUAAUCAAUUUGAUAAGAAAGAAAGAUAUAAUUCCUUUAAAUGCCUUCGUAAUCCACAUUGCCUACUAAUCAUAAAACUAAAAUGCCUCAACUUCAGACAUAUAUGAUUUUCAAUUUACUCUUCUCUUGAAAAAUUCGUGUUUUCAAAAUUCAUUGCAACAAAACGCCCAAUAAACUAAAAUUAACCAUAAUUCAAAGCUUAAUAUAAUCAAACGAAAGCUCUUCAACACAAUAAAACCCUAGAAGAGAAGUGAAUCAACAAUCAUAGACGAAGUCAAUCAUCUUCAAUGAGAAGAGAAAUCCACAGAAACGGAGCCCUAGAACCCGGAUCAAACUUCAGAGAUCAAAGAAGAGAACAAACCUUCGAAUCAAAAUCACGAAAAAGUUUUCCAGCAGUUACAGAAUCUCUCCCACAAGUCACGGAGUUAAUGAGAGAUUGGAUCGUUCAAAGGAAGAGCUCGAAAUCGAAAUCGAAAUCGAAAUCAAACGAGGUCCCUGCAACAGCCAUGAGAGGACGGGAUCGAGACGAACCGCGCGUUCCUUGGUUUCCUGUUUUUGAUCGGCAAUGGGGGAAAAUUGGCUGUUAUCAAAUUACGAUAUUACCCAUUGGAUAAACUUAGGGAAGAUCGGUCCCCCUAUGAUGAGUGUAGGGGUAACUUGGUAAUAUAGAGUCAAAUGGCUUUUCUCUAAGCUGUGACGAUUGACGAAUGACGAAUGACGAAUGACGAAUGACGAAUGACGAAUGACGAAUAAGGGUUGGGCACAAAUAUUUGUUAUUUGUUUUAUACCCGUUAUUUUAUCCGUAUUCGUCUUGCUGGUUGGAAUUAACAAGUAUCAUAAAAAAGUUCUGACUCGUCUUGAUAUUACUUGAUACUUGUUUUACAACUAAAAAAAUGAUAAUUAAACCAUAAAAAUCAAAGCUCUAAACAAAUAUUUUUUUGUUGUAAAAAGUAAACAAUACUUUCUUAUAGAAUUCUAUCUUUUUCUUUUUUUAUAUCAGGUGAAAAUAUUUUAUUUAAAAUAACUCUCGUGUUUUUACCAAGUCGAGUAGAUAAAACAAACUUUCGUAACCUUCUCACGUAAAAUAUUAUCUAUCAAGUAAUUUUUAGAAAUUUGGAAAUAUAUCCAAGUAAUUAAUAAAUACUUGUAAGUAGCAAGUAAUCGAACAAGGCAAGUAACAUAUUUUUGGACAAGGACUCGAAAUAACAAGUACUCGUUUCCGACAAGUCAAGUACAAGUCGAAAAAUUCGUUAUUCGUUCAAGGCAAGCCAAGUAUUGUCCGAACAAUAGGAUAAUAUCAAUUAAUAAACUGUAUAUAUAUUGUCCGAACAAUUGGAUAAUAUCAAUAAAUAAAAUAUUAUUUCUAUUUAAACUUUCUCUCCUUCAAAAUUUACAUUUCUUUCACUCAAAUCUAAAAAUAUUUCAUCCUUUGAUGUCAUCUUGACUGCAAUCAGAUUUGUACAAUGCAACUACAUCAUUUGAAGUCGUAAUUAGGAUCCUUAAGAUUAAAUAUUGUUGAAUUAUUACUAAUGAGUAUUGACUAGUUUUCUCCACCCAAAAACGUGUGUUAUUGACUAAUAAUCAUUGGUCUUAUCUAUUAAAUAAAUAUCCAGUUAAUUUUAAAAUAUGUUCAAGAUAUAGAUUCUGUAUAUAAAUAAACAGAAGAAAGGAUUCGCUGGAAUAAUAUCUUCAACCAACUAAACAUGAAACUAAAGAUGGACUCCUGGAAGAAGAGUUUGAGUUAGCAAAAUGAAAUUUAUGAUGAGGUAGUGUUAAAUGUUGUUCACAAAUAUAGUUUACCAACAUUUAACAUUAAUUCUAAAAAUUAAUUCCGCAUAUGCCAUGUGAAAAAAGAUAAAUGCAUGUGAGAUGGUUGUAUUACCCUUAAUUACAUCCAAAAAUAGAAAAAAAGUGAUUAAGGAGCAUGCUUAUCUCUGAUGAUGACACUAACAUGUUAAACAUAUAACAGAUCCCAUAUUAACAUUCUUACAGAACUUACAACAAUGAUUGGGAAACACAGAACUCUUUUGCUCGUUUCAACACACGCAGAAGAUGAGAUUGUUCCAUUUGUGACACAUUCAAAGGUAUAUAUGUAUACACAUUAACAUAUGCUAACUCUUGUUUUAUCACCAACAAUGAUUUUUUAAUGGUGACAGGAAGUAGAACGAGGAGGAUCUCCGUACGACCUUCAUGUUUUUUGUGGUAAGUACAAAACGCUUUCAUUUGUAGUUAGUAGUUACUAUUGGAAAUCAUAGGACUCUUAGUUUUACUAAUCAAAUGCCAGACUCAAAUGAUUGAAGAUACCUUGAUAACUGGACUCUAAGAGUGUGGCCUAUCUCCACGAGAUCAUGCGACUCUGUUUUAGCAUGCCAUAUUGGGCCAAUACAAUCUGUUGAAUACUCCACACCGGACAAAAGGAUUAUAGUCACAUGUCCAUGAUAAUCUCAGCUACACCAGUUCUGGAAAUAACUAUUGAAAAAGCAUCGUGAUGUGUGAUGUGCAUAGUUUAAGAAGUUGUUGAAGUUAUUAUGCAUAUGCCUUCCUGAAUGAAGAUCCCACAUAUUCACGAUCCUGAAUAUUAUUUGAUCAUUAUAGCUAAACCUGUAAGUGAAAUUUAAUACAUCAAAUCCAUAUUUUAUUUGUGCUAUUAUAACAUACAUAACAUUCAUAUUGUGUAGGAGGGGGACUAUUCCAGAAAACACCAAAUCCUCUUUGUGAAGAUUAUAUGAUGUCUCAAAAAAGAUGAAAGAACCCAUGUUGUUACUGAUUUUCAUCGUCAUUCUAUGUUGACUUAUAUUACUAUAAACUAAGUGGAUAGAGAAAAUGGUCUUCUGCCCACAUGAAAUUCAACAAAGCUCUUGACUGGAGUUGUAAUAUACACAGUGAGCUAUCUCGUAAUUGUUGAUUUCUUUCUCCCUUUCUCCCUGUAUAUAUGACAUUGUUAUCUUUUCUUUGUCUUGGUUUCUUUUGGGGUCAGAUGAGAUGAGGGGCGGGAGGUGAGGGAUGGAGAUGGCUACAUGAGAGGAUCAGAUGCAAGGAUCGAGCGGAAAAAGAUAAAUUUUUUGUUUUUGUUCGCCGGAGGCGAGUAAGAGAGAAAGAAAGGCGUAGCGGAUUGGGAGUGUAUCAAUGAUGAAAUGGUCUAACACAUGAGCCAUCUUUCCAUUUCUGAGCGUUCCAUGUACCUCACUGCAUAUAUAUUUGGUAAGACUUGCUUACUUGGCAGCAUACUGAUCAAAUGUAAACCUCAAUUCUAUUUUCCGGAGGUUUCCUAUGCCUCUAGAUAGUGUGUUUGGCCUUGAUUAUUGUACGAAGGAGGUGUAUGAUAAAGGGUAUAUCUUUUGUUAGUGGGGUUCAUGGUAAGGCGUGUUUCUGGAACGAGAGAGCUGAGGAAAGAUUUAACGAAUAAGGUACAAUCUUCAUUUCAUAAACAAAGUCCUUGGGUUUGGUUUUAAACGUGUUUCUGACAUGUCAUGUCACUUAUUUGGUCUCACACUCUCAAUGAGUCGGCUUGCUACAACCUAGGAUCCGUGGCACUUGGUUAACUCAUUGUCUCUUUUGUAGAGUCUGGUGCCAGUAGCGGCGACAAGCGACGGCGCAGCUUGCUGGAGAAGCCACUCGAUGGUUUCGCCGUCGGAUUUAUGACCGAGCUCUCCGGUUAACUGAAAAAGCCUAGCGGCGCAAAGAGCAGGUAUCCUGAGUCGCCGUCCUUUUCCGUCGUCUUUCCUCGACCGCUUCGUUAUAACUCCGGAAGUAGCCGCCGCCGGGGAGGAGGAGGUCGUUGCGAGAGUGGCGUAUUCUGGAGGAGCAGAUUUGGGGACGAUCUUAAGAAAAGGAUAAACCAGGUGCGGGGAACCUUCUCUGGCGACGGAAAACCCUUCUGGCCGAGACCUUUUCUUUGUGGGUACAGUAGGAAAAACCUUGUUAAAUACAGACGAAGCUUCGUUGAAAAUUAUCACACGCUCC